Molecule: ribosomal RNA, 603 nt
Filed under: uncultured eukaryote
Lineage: Eukaryota
Description: SSU rRNA
Rfam family: Eukaryotic small subunit ribosomal RNA
Source: RNAcentral
UUAAAAAGCUCGUAGUUGGAUUUCGGGAUGGGCCAGUCGGUCCGCCUAACGGUGUGUUUACUGGCUGGUCUGUUCUUCUUCGCAAAGACUGCGUGUGCACUUUACUGUGUGUGCGUAGGAUUUACGACGUUUACUUUGAAAAAAUUAGAGUGUUCAAAGCAGGCAUACCGCUUGAAUACAUGAGCAUGGAAUAAUGGAAUAGGACUUUGGUCUUAUUUUGUUGGUUUCUGAGACCGAAGUAAUGAUUAAGAGGGACAGUUGGGGGCAUUCGUAUUUCGUUGUCAGAGGUGAAAUUCUUGGAUUUACGAAAGACGAACAAUUGCGAAAGCAUUUGCCAAGAAUGUUUUCAUUAAUCAAGAACGAAAGUUAGAGGAUCGAAGACGAUCAGAUACCGUCCUAGUUCUAACCAUAAACGAUGUCGACUAGGGAUCAGCGAACGUCUAAUGCGACUUCGUUGGCACCUUACGGGAAACCAAAGUUUUUGGAUUCCGGGGGAAGUAUGGUUGCAAAACUGAAACUUAAAGGAAUUGACGGAAGGGCACCACCAGGAGUGGAGCCUGCGGCUUAAUUUGACUCAACACGGGAAAACCUCACCAGGGUCCA